RNAcentral lists this transfer RNA (81 nucleotides) under Myrmecia israelensis. RNAcentral describes it as "Myrmecia israeliensis tRNA-Leu". It matches the Rfam family "tRNA". From Rfam's summary of the family: Transfer RNA (tRNA) molecules are approximately 80 nucleotides in length. Their secondary structure includes four short double-helical elements and three loops (D, anti-codon, and T loops). Further hydrogen bonds mediate the characteristic L-shaped molecular structure. tRNAs have two regions of fundamental functional importance: the anti-codon, which is responsible for specific mRNA codon recognition, and the 3' end, to which the tRNAs corresponding amino acid is attached (by aminoacyl-tRNA synthetases). tRNAs cope with the degeneracy of the genetic code in two manners: having more than one tRNA (with a specific anti-codon) for a particular amino acid; and 'wobble' base-pairing, i.e. permitting non-standard base-pairing at the 3rd anti-codon position. Lineage: Eukaryota; Viridiplantae; Chlorophyta; Trebouxiophyceae; Trebouxiales; Trebouxiaceae. The record is from RNAcentral.
GCCCUUGUGGCGAAAUGGUAUACGCACUUGUUUUAGGAACAAGCGCCUUACGGCAUGUCAGUUCGAGUCUGACCAAGGGCA